UAGCUCAGUUGGUAGAGCGUGGUGUUUGCAACACCAGGGUUGUGGGUUCGAUUCCCAU
Molecule: non-coding RNA, 58 nt
Organism: Salmo salar (Atlantic salmon)
Lineage: Eukaryota; Metazoa; Chordata; Actinopteri; Salmoniformes; Salmonidae
Source: Rfam